AUGAAGGAUAUUCAAGUUCUGAUAGAAAACUUAUUAGAUCAGGAAGAGCUCAUUUGGUUGCAAAGGGGGCGAGCGAAGUGGUUACUGCAUGGGGACCGAAAUACAUCUUAUUUCCAUAGAGCUGCAUCAGCCCGAAAAAAGAAGAAAUACAUCAAAAAACUGUUAGAUGACACAGGGGUUUGGAAGGAGAACGCAGAGGAUAUCAAUGGCAUUAUCUCAGAGUAUUUUUCUUCUUUGUUUACCUCGCAAGUACACCUGCCGGAUCAGGAUGUGUUAUCCAAGGUACAGCAACGUGUUACACAGGGUAUGAAUGACCUGCUGAUGGCACCAUAUACUGCGGAGGAAGUUAGAAAAGCUAUGUUCUCAAUUGGUGAUUUCAAGGCCCCAGGGCCGGAUGGGCUGCAUGCAGUAUUCUAUAAGCGGUUUUGGCCAAUGUUAGGAGAUGAUCUGGUGAUGGAAGUACUAACAGCAGCGAAUACACAAGUAAUGCCUCUGGGGUGGAAUGACACUACCAUUGUUAUGAUCCCAAAGGUAAAUGCACCGGAAAAAGUUACACAAUUCAGGCCCAUUAGCUUAUGUAAUGUUCUGUAUAAAACUAUCUCCAAGAUGAUUGCAACAAGAUUGAAAGGUUUAUUGCCUGAAAUCAUUAGCCCCACGCAAAGUGCUUUCGUCCCUGGAAGGUUGAUUACUGAUAAUGUACUGAUAGCAUAUGAGAGUCUCCACGCAAUCAAACAGAAAAGGAAAGGCUAGGAGGGGUGGUGUGUAGUCAAAUUGGAUAUGCACAAGGCAUAUGACAGAGUUGAGUGGGUCUUUUUGGAAGCUAUUUUGCUAAAACUAGGGUUUAGGGCUGAAUGGGUUAAAAUGAUAAUGGUUUGUGUCUCUACGGUGGAGUAUAGAGUAAGAUACAAUUUAGUGGAAACGGAGAUAAUCAAACCCUCGAGGGGGUUGCGGCAGGGAGAUCCAUUGUCGCCUUAUUUAUUCCUCCUCUGUACAAAAGGACUAACAGCCCUACUUAACCAUGCAGAGCAUACGGGUGAUUUGGUGGGGCUGAAAGUUUGCAGAGAUGCACCAGGUGUCACAAACCUACUAUUUGCAGACGAUUCUUUAAUUCUGAUGAGAGCAAAUGAGCAAAACGCAAUAUCACUGAAAGCUGUUCUGGAUUCGUAUUGUGGGGCGUCAGGUCAGCUUGUGAGCGUGGACAAAUCCAGCAUUUUCUUUAGUCCAAGCACAGAUGUAGAUGUUAAGGCCUUGGUGUGCUCAACACUAAAUAUCUUGACAGAAGCCAUAAACGAUAAGUAUCUGGGUUUGCCAGCUACGUUGGGGUUGGACAAGACUGAUAGUUUUCAGUACUUGGUGGAUCGGUUGAUCUUGAAACUGACUGGAUGGAAGGAGAAAAGCAUGUCUUCUGGAGGUAAAGAGGUGCUUAUUAAGUCUGUAGCACAAGCCAUACCAACCUAUGCGAUGUCGGUCUUCAAAAUUCCUAAGAAAAUUUGCAAAGGAAUUACAGAUGGGAUAGCUAGGUUCCGGUGGGGUGAUGAUGCAUCACACAAGAGAAUGCACUGGUUUGCUUGGUGGAAGAUGUGUAUACCUAAAAAGAAAGGUGGAAUGGGCUUUAGGGAUAUUCAGUGCUUUAAUCUUGCACUCUUGGCAAAGCAAGCAUGGAGACUUAUCGAGAACCCAGAUUCUCUAUGUGCAAAUAUCCUCAAAGCAAAGUACUACCCUAAUGAUGAUUUGCUGAGUGUUAGUCUAAAAAAGAAAUCUUCGUAUACUUGGCAAAGCAUAAUGGCAGGAGUG
This 1794-nucleotide ribosomal RNA is filed under the name Triticum aestivum (bread wheat). RNAcentral's name for it is "partial small subunit ribosomal RNA". Lineage: Eukaryota; Viridiplantae; Streptophyta; Magnoliopsida; Poales; Poaceae. The record is from RNAcentral.